Molecule: non-coding RNA, 71 nt
Organism: Rhizopus microsporus
Lineage: Eukaryota; Fungi; Mucoromycota; Mucoromycetes; Mucorales; Rhizopodaceae
Source: Rfam
GCCGUGAUAGUAUAGUGGCAGUACGUGGCGUUGUGGCCGCCUCGACGCAGGUUCGAUUCCUGCUCACGGCA